GUGGAUUGCUUGACCAGGGCCACCACCUGGUGGAUGACGUGGUAAAAGGAAUGAGUAUGAAAGAAGCACAUGGCAAGUGAGACCCACGACUUCUAUAACAGAUGAAAUGUAUUGGACCCAAGGUGGAGCAGUGGUCAUAACCCACCGUCACCCAUCACCAUGCCAAAAAUGCUUCCUUGCAGCUCCAGUCUCCAUACAGCAUGGUGUCUUCUAGGUGAACAGACUUUACCUGGCUGGACAUGGGAGACAUUCAUUGUUAAUAUAAAAUAGACAGGAAAUAACAGCUGCAGGAAUAUCCCUUCAUCCACAGAGUUGUGCAAGACACAGCAAGUUUCAGGAUGAAUGGGUUGUGAAGAGCCAGAGACAGGACAGCCAUGGUAAACAGGGAACUGGACUUCUUGCAGCUCCAGUCUCAGCAUGGUGUCUUCUAGGUGAACAGACUUUAUCUGGCUGGACAUGGGGGGAUGUUCUAUAUGAAGCAGACAUAAAAAGGCAGCAACAGGAACAUCUACAUCUCACCUAGUUGUGCAAGACACGUGAUGAAUGGACAGCCAGAGACGGGACAGCCAUUGUAAACAGCAAAUACACUUCUGGAAUUGUGUAAAGAGCUGCUGGCAGACCAAGAGGUCAAUUUCAUAUUAAGUGAGAGAGAGUGCUGCCAGAACCACCUAGAACAAGACUCCCAAAGAUGACAUGCAGAUCCUGUAGAGCCAGUUAUAUGGAACAGUACAAUUGUACAACAAAUGUGGGUUCCAGGUAACACAAAGAAUCCAUUUCCCCCAUAUACAUGGAAACUAUAGAGGCAGGGUAUAUAAAGCAAGGAGAUUGUGUUAGACAAUACUCUAUCACUGAAGACAAAUAGACACAAUGGAAAUGUUUAAAAGUGAAUUGCUAUUUCAGCUCAGUUGUGAUGUGUUAUAAUAAUUUCCCCAUGUGCAUGGAAAUUGUUACAGUACUAGUAGAGGUAGCAUGUAUGCGAGAUUGUAGUAGACAAUAAGCCAUCAGUGAACAGAAAAAGACGUCAUUGAAAAUGUUUUAAUGUGAAUACAUAUAUUUCAGUGCAGAUAUGAUGUGUUAUAAAUAAUCUCUGUUAUUGUGAGGCCAUUAAGUUGCAUAAUGCAAUUUUUAUGACAUUUAUUAUAUACAGACACUUUCAGUCUGUCUAUAUUCUGAUCACUGUGUCUGUCCAGUGUCAUUGCCAUAGUCAGAACUUUGUGACACAUCUGUUGUUUACCCUAUUACUGAUAAACUGUAUUUUUGUUUUUUUUUUUAAUGUUAAUUCCUCUAGAAAAUCAUCAUGAUUGGAUUAUUUAAUGAUAUUGCUUUGUUAUCUUAAGCAUUUUGGAUAUGAUGCUACAAUAUGUCCUGAGUAUUUCAAAUUGAUGUAGCAAUGUAGAUAUGUUUGUGUAUUUUUGUCCGUCUUUGUUUCUGAUUCUGAUAUUUGUUUUAAUUACUAAAUAUGUUGUCAUUUUGUGAAUUUAUGAAAUUAUUAUAAGUUUAUUGUUAAAUGAUUUGUCAAGUGCAUGACAGAGUCAGAAGGUUCAUUGGUCUGAUAGUUUGAUGAUGUAAAUGUCCAGCUGUUCCAAAGGUGUACUAGUCAGAAGGUUCACUUGCAUGAGGUUUCAUUGGUUCAGAGGUUGUAAAGUCCCAAAGUAUGAAUGGUAUAUAGUGUAAUGUAGCAGUGAUAAUAUCUGUGGAGGGCGAUAAUAUAUUUAAUGACUUUUCAUGACUCUAUAAUGCCCCAGCUUUGGGCAGGUUUUACUUAAUCUGUAAUUUUCAUUGUUUUUGAGCACACAUAUUUAGUUUUAUGGGCUAAUUGUCUGCUGCUGUAAGGAUAAAGACAGAUUUCAACACACACAAGCUAUAUUUAAAACGUUAAAAACAGUGAA
RNAcentral lists this long non-coding RNA (1889 nucleotides) under Lingula anatina. RNAcentral's name for it is "uncharacterized LOC106170874". Lineage: Eukaryota; Metazoa; Brachiopoda; Lingulata; Lingulida; Lingulidae. The record is from RNAcentral.